GUGUCCGUGGCGAAAGGAUUAACGCGUCGGGUUGUGAUUCCGGCUACUGCGGGUUUGAGUCCCGUCGGACACCCCA
Molecule: transfer RNA, 76 nt
Filed under: Gammaproteobacteria bacterium
Lineage: Bacteria; Pseudomonadati; Pseudomonadota; Gammaproteobacteria
Description: tRNA-His
Rfam family: tRNA
About the family: Transfer RNA (tRNA) molecules are approximately 80 nucleotides in length. Their secondary structure includes four short double-helical elements and three loops (D, anti-codon, and T loops).
Source: RNAcentral